ACGAACGCUGGCGGCGUGCCUAAUACAUGCCAGUUGCGCGAUGAAGAUUGGUGCUUGCACCAAUUUGAAGAGCAGCGAACGGGUGAGUAACGCGUGGGGAAUCUGCCUUUGAGCGGGGGACAACAUUUGGAAACGAAUGCUAAUACCGCAUAACAACUUUAAACAUAAGUUUUAAGUUUGAAAGAUGCAAUUGCAUCACUCAAAGAUGAUCCCGCGUUGUAUUAGCUAGUUGGUGAGGUAAAGGCUCACCAAGGCGAUGAUACAUAGCCGACCUGAGAGGGUGAUCGGCCACAUUGGGACUGAGACACGGCCCAAACUCCUACGGGAGGCAGCAGUAGGGAAUCUUCGCAAUGGACGAAAGUCUGACCGAGCAACGCCGCGUGAGUGAAGAAGGUUUUCGGAUCGUAAAACUCUGUUGGUAGAGAAGAACGUUGGUGAGAGUGGAAAACUCAUCAAGUGACGGUAACUACACAGAAAGGGACGGCUAACUACGUG
RNAcentral lists this ribosomal RNA (495 nucleotides) under uncultured bacterium. RNAcentral describes it as "partial 16S ribosomal RNA". It matches the Rfam family "Bacterial small subunit ribosomal RNA", at positions 29 to 507 of the family's 1533-position model. The record is from RNAcentral.